GACCAUGCUGCUCUGCUUCCCUUCUCUCUCUGCCUCUAGGCAGCUUCUUGCUUCAUGGUUAAAUGUCCCUGAGCAAGGAGCCUGGGCCAAUCCUGCUGGGGCUGGACCUGGAGGCCCGCCCCAGGGAGGAGGGACUGAGCCCUGGCCCAGAUGCAAGGCGGCCUGAAUCGCCGGUCUUGAGACGUGUCUGUGAGUGCAAACCUUCAGAUUUGUCAGCCCAACAUGUGAGCAAAGGCUUUCAAAACCUCCAGGGUGAUGCGCAUGCUGGUGCACUUGGGAAAUGUUAUUUUGGCACCUGUCAUUCUCACCACGAUAUUUUAAAUACUUUUUGAAACAGAGCUUUAUUUUAUAAAAAAGCUAACCAGCAAGCAAGAAAAAAAAAAAAAAGAAACCAAAACAAAAACUCAAAUCAACAUGAAGGAAUGAGGCUUUCUUUUCCAUGGUGUGUUUCUUCCCAAGCUUUCUAAAUCUGCCAGGACAUCUGAAGGUCCCUGUCUCCUUCUGAGUCAUCAAGGGAAAUUAAGGGGCCGUUCUCCAGCCCUGCCAGGCCCUGAACCGACCCUGCAGGUCACACUUAUGCACCACCCCAUCAUCACUCACUCGAAGCCAGGGCACCGCCCCUUCAGUACUUACUGGGUCUUGAACACAAGACCUCAGAUGCACUAAGCAAGCCCUGAGCUACACUAGCAACCUUAGUUUUUCCAUACGGUCACCAGCUUCACUGUGAGCUUCUUAUUUUAAAUAGAGAGCUUCUUGGUCCAAGUACCCUGUGGCUCAGUGUAAUAAAUAAACUUACAUCAGCUGAACAUUUGUGUACUGAUUGUCUAUUAAAUGGAACCCUUGUGUACCUUGCAUUACACUGGAUGUCUUUUUAACAUCUGACUUUGCUAUCGCAUCAGAACCGCC
RNAcentral lists this long non-coding RNA (906 nucleotides) under Heterocephalus glaber (naked mole-rat). RNAcentral describes it as "lncRNA (ENSHGLG00100043661.1)". The record is from RNAcentral. Lineage: Eukaryota; Metazoa; Chordata; Mammalia; Rodentia; Bathyergidae.